CCCAAGCACACGCUUCUCAGCGGGACUUUGUAAUACUAUGUGCACUCCCUCAUGUGUUACUAUUAUACCCAACAGGAAACAGAAUUGGACAUACUGGUUAAUGCUUCAACCAAAUUUACUCGCUCAAGAACAUUUCCAUAGUUUUUCUGCUUUGUUCUUUUUUAACAAUUAAUUACUGUAAUUAUUUCCUGAUAUCUGGGAUACAUACGACCUGUCCUGUGUAAGUGGAGGAGAGUAAAACGCAUUUGGAUUGAGACAUGGAGCAGCUCUUUUUUCUUCUCAUUCCCCUGUUUGCAUCUUCAUCCAUAAUCUCAGCAGGAAAUGACACAAGCAUACAAACUACGUUACCUCCAAACACAAAUGCUACAUCUCCAUGGUCUGUUGAUUCAAGAACAGAAGUCCAAACUGAAAAAACAAUGACUUCUGCUUUUUCAUCUCAAUAUGAGAAUGGCAAGACCAGCCACACCUCAAAAACUGUGAGCAUAACCACAGCUCCUGUAUCUUCUAGCCACACAGUGGGUGUUUCCGUACUUGCAAACACAGCUAAUUCAAACAUCAGCCUGUCUGAGGGGACGCCAACACCUUCACAGGCACCAGACAGCGGCCUCACUUUGCUCGCCUUUGGUGUGAUGAGUCUUAUACUCAUUUUAAUUGUUGUCAUGGUGGUCUUGGUGACUGCUAUCAACCUCAGGGGACAGUGUAGAGACACCAGACAGCACGAGGGUAUUAAAAGCUGUGAUUCGGUGGUAUCUGACAGAUACAGAUUCUCCCCAGAUGUCUUCAGUUCACAGCACUAUACUGGACAAUGAGGACCAAGAAUUUACCAGAGACCUGCUGGGCAUCAAUGACGGACUGUGAUUUCACUCAGUUCAUAGUGCAUGAGAUUGGAGGCUGCAUUCACUAUUUAUAAUGUUAAAUGAAUGUGAAUUAAUGUGCCUCUAUCUGAUGGUCAGUGCACAGAUCACACAUCAUGCUUAUGGCCUACAUUACUGCAUAUAAAACGAUCCCUAUAUCAGACAUGCUCUUGUAUAUUAAACAUGACACAUCCUUCAUUGAUAAAUAAAAUGUCACUUUUGUGUUCAUAUUCUUUUUCAGAUUAAAAAAAGUGCAUUAAUGUGUAAUGUAAUGUAUUUGUAAAGUGAGAUACGGAAUGUAAGGAUUUGAGUCAAAAGUCCAAAUACACAAAUGUGUGUGUGUGUGUGUUCCUGUAUAGGCCACAUUUGACAUGAUAAUAUAUUUGUUUUGUG
Molecule: long non-coding RNA, 1247 nt
Filed under: Sinocyclocheilus anshuiensis
Lineage: Eukaryota; Metazoa; Chordata; Actinopteri; Cypriniformes; Cyprinidae
Description: lncRNA (ENSSANG00000021017.1)
Source: RNAcentral